RNAcentral lists this ribosomal RNA (395 nucleotides) under uncultured bacterium. Its description in RNAcentral is "bacterial SSU rRNA". It matches the Rfam family "Bacterial small subunit ribosomal RNA", at positions 30 to 433 of the family's 1533-position model. The record is from RNAcentral.
AGCGAACGCUGGCGGCGUGGCUAAGACAUGCAAGUCGAACGGACCGCAAGGUCAGUGGCGGAAGGGUGAGUAACGCAUGGGCGACCUGCCGAGGACACCGGGACAGCCGAGGGAAACCUCGGGUAAUACCGGAUGACGUCGGCCCGGGGCAUACCGGGCCGACCAAAGGUCCGCCGGUCCUCGAGGGGCCCAUGUCCUAUCAGCUUGUUGGCGGGGUGGACGGCCCACCAAGGCGACGACGGGUAGCCGGACNGAGAGGGUGACCGGCCACACUGGGACUGAGACACGGCCCAGACUCCUACGGGAGGGCAGCAGUAAGGAAUAUUGGUCAAUGGACGCAAGUCUGAACCAGCCAUGCCGCGUGAAGGAUGAAGGCCCUCUGGGUUGUAACUUAC